AAUAAAACACAAUAUUUGACUUCAUAAUGAGAAAAGUCCCUGUUUAAAUCAUCAGGGGGGCUUUUAAUUUGAAAGUGGCAACAGCCGAUGACUGUAUAUCACAAAUAAACCACCUCGCGCAGGGGAUGGCAAUGUCUUCCGGUGGUGACCCCAAGAUGCAGGAACCCGGAGAGCGAAGAGCAGAGUGUCGCCACGUGACUCGGCUCUAGUGGAUUCCACCCCGAGGUGUGGCCUCAGCCAAUCAGCUCGGGGUGUGGCUGGAUGCAUCCGCUCUUCCAUUUAACCACACACACACACUGGUCUCUCUCGGGCCAUUGUGAAGGGACAGAGCCCCCUCUGUGUUUCUAAACAAAGGUAAAGGCCUCUCCACACCACACCUUUCACCCCCCUUCCAACACAAAUCGGCAAUGACUCGAGAAGAUACAGUAUAUUCAAAAUAGAUAUUUGAUACACAGUAAUUUUAUAAAUAAUAAUUGUAUUUAAAAAAGGGAAAUAUAUCUUUAAAAAUGUACAUACAUAAAUGAAAUGUUAAAGCAGUUUAGGUUAAA
Molecule: non-coding RNA, 548 nt
Organism: Nerophis lumbriciformis (worm pipefish)
Lineage: Eukaryota; Metazoa; Chordata; Actinopteri; Syngnathiformes; Syngnathidae
Source: RefSeq, a predicted model, not a curated record